UUGAGCUUCACUUUACUGCACUUCACAGAUCUUGCAUUUUUUUUUUUUACAAAUUGAAGGUUCAAGACUUCAGCAGAGGAAGUGCAGGUGUGGGGAAAAUAACAAGAGAGCUAGAAUUAUCCGUGAAGACUAAAGAUGGGACUGAAUUGUUGUAAUCUCAUGAUAAAAUUCAAAUAGAUAAGGAGUUACUUCUUAUGGAUGAGCAAAUGAAAUGGAUUCUUGAGAAUCUAUGCCUGGUGAAGAAGCUGUGAAGAUUGUUGAUAUGACAACAAAGAAUUUAGAAUACCACAUACAUUUAGCUGGUAAAACAGUGGCAGGGUUUGAGAGGAUUGACUCCAAUUUUGAAAGCAGUUCUACUGAAGACAUUGCAUCUUCCUAUGAGAGACAAGAAAAGAAAAAAGACAAAGAUGCUAAGAACAAAAGAUGUGUGCCAGUAGAAUUCAAAUAACCAAAUUUCAAUUGGCUGCAAUUUCGGGUUUAUAUUGGUGAUCAAAUGCGGGAUCCAGAGCAAACCUCCAAAGACCCCCAGGCUGGAGAGCCAACAUCAGACAAUGCCCACAGAGCCGAUGGGGCUCACUGCUUUCUCACUGACCCAUGAGUUGGAAGCCAGGUGGUCACUGCGGCCCUUUCUACAUUCCAUUGCUCAAACCUGUUUCCCUUAAGUGGCCUCUACACAAUCAAGGUAAGGUUGCUUUUUGCCUCUAGCAAAGUCUUGAAGUUAAAGCAGUUAAGUUCCUGGAGGAAGGUCACUCUGCCAGUCCCAAGUACUUGUCAAUGGGCUGCAAGUUGUAAGGAAAUUCAAUUUUUUUUGACAUUUCUUUUGUGUUUCUUUUUGACAUCACUAUCACUGACUCCCCACUGUGAAUAUCUUCUUUUGUCUUUAGCUAAAGAUGGUAUUUAAGGUGAUGGCUUUGGCCAUUUUGGAGAGUUACUCAAUUUUCCUGAUAUUAUGAAACUCAAAAUUGUCUGGGCACCCAGAGCACUGUAAACCAAUGUCUGAGACAACAGUUUUGAAACAAAGAAAGCUUUAUUAUCAAAACGACAGUCCAACAAGAAGCAGGGGGAUGAUUCCCAAAGCUGCCUUGUCCCUUGAGCCUAGGGACAGCUUAUAUAUGUUUGCAAAGGAGGUGAAUACAUGAGGAAGGGUGAAGGGUUUCUUGAAACCUUGGGGCGGGGAGUUGAAAUAAUCUGGAGGUAUGCAUUCUUCUGUUAGGGAAAAAUCCCUUAUAUGACUGCUGACAGGACUGAUAAGGGAAUUUCAGUCCCUGCCUGAAAACUUCCCUUCCAGGUUCUUGUUCCCACCCUGCUGCCUCAGACACCAAAUUACUACUAAUUAGGAAUGCGGAAGUAAUAGAAUAUAAAUCGUCCCCUCUGUUGAUUCUCUGAGCUCAGAUCUCUGGAGAAUGAUCUCUGGGCUCACUGGUGUAAAAUAAACCUCCUGCCUUCCAACAUCUCCAAGUGCCAUGUGGUUCUUCUGCUGGGUGAUCCAGACUAGUUUCCGUAACACUUCCAGUGAGAUGCCUUUUGAGACCUGGUAUAUCAGGUGUGUCAGAUAAUUUCAAAACAAAUGCUAGCAUCGGGUCCCCAUUAGGUUUCUCUAAUCAGUGGGUACAUGUGGAGUAGGAGUGGAAAAGGCAAAACGAACAAUUGAUAAGAGGUGCAUAAAACAUAAUUAAGUAGAGAACAAAACAAAAUGUGGAUCUAAGUUAACAAUGCAACUAAUACAACUAUAAUUCACAGAAAAGCGACCCAAACUGAGGUGGGAUGUGUCUCCCCCCUCGCAGGAGGACCUGGAUCCUGUGAGUGGAGGUGAAUCCCAGAUGGGCCGCCACAUUAUUAGAAAUAAGCCACUGACCCAAUCAAAGGAGUCAGAAGAUCAAGCUGAUUUAUGCAUUCCUCUUUUCAAACACUUAGUACCCUUAGAACCCUUAGAAUUCAAAAAUAAAUCUAUUAAUAAUAGAUAUAUAAUUAAAUAUAUAUAAAUAACUUUAAUGUGGAUACAACGAAGGUAACAGAACUCUGAGGAAAGAGGACCUCAAAUUUAUCAUUUGUAUUUGUUCUGUAGGAGGUGAAACCUCCCUUUCUCCCUUCUAAGUUCUUUGGCUAGUUUAAUAAUUAAAUUGAUUUAAGACAGAAUAACAUGAGAAAUGAAAUAUUGUUCCCAUAUCAUUACCUGGGUGUGAUGCGGUUUUGGAGUGGUGGGGGUCCAGAGCCUAUGGCAAAGGAAGAAUUCUUGAGACAUCUUUGAUGCAAAAAGAUGAAUUUCUUAAAGUACAGGAAGAGGACCCAUGGGCAGAAAGAGGACCCAUGGGCUGCAUUAUAAGCCUAAGGAGCUAGUAAUUAUAUACCUGGCAGUUGGGGGAAGUAAAAGCAAGGUUUCCAAAAAGGACUUUGAUAUGCUAAAGAAGAUUCUCAAGAUACUGGAUACCUAGCUUUGUGGAGCUAAGGUGGUUUUUCCUCUAGUAAGGCAUUAACUUUGAGACAGUAGGGAGUUCUUGAAGAAAGGUUAUACUCUGCUUAUCUUAAAUAUUUGUAAAUGGGCUGCAGGUUACAAGGAAAUUCCAUUUUAUUUACCAUUUCCUUCUUGCCUUUGUUCCCCCCAUCACUAUGGAGGGGAGGGUGAUGUUGGGGCUCCAGGAAACUGAGUCUAUAGUUUUCUGGAGAUUAGGCUAUUGAUAAGAUUGCCUUUUUCUUGUAAAUUACUAAAACAUUUGUAUACUAAUGGAGACUCAUGUUUUGCAUAACUAUGAUAUCUAUCAGUUAACCAUUUGUUUUCUCCUUUACUUAGUUUUAGGGCAUCCAGGAAUGCCUAGGAAUGUCCCACCUUGGGGGGUGGGGGCAGUAUGUGGGUUGCAGGGUGUUAGCUUGUGCUUUGCCCUCAGCUUGCCUUGAGCUCCCUCAUUGGGUGAGUUAUAUGAUUCUUGGAAAAUGAUGCUCUUCCUCUACUUGGAGAAACUGAUAGUCUUGACCUUUAAACCUGUCAUCCCAGUCUGAUUUUGCUCUCUUCAUGCCAAAACUCUACAGUUUUGCUAUUUUAGAACUCACCUUGGUUCACUUCAUGUGUCCUUCGCAGUGAUAAUGUAUAUAAAGGGAAGUCAAAUAAAAACACAUAACUUUGAAAAUAAAAUGCUGAGACAUGCUUUGGCCUUCCUGUUGUCCAAUAUGCAUUUAUAACUUCAGGAUAGCAAGUCAAACAUUUAUGAAGCAGUCCAUGGUCAACUUCCAAAUGAAUCCACACAGGUAUACUAACUUAAAGUUCCAGAUGUUGCUGGGGCUCUCAGGUUGGUCCCAUAUACUACUUGAGUAUCUCUGAAAGUGAACAGUAUGAAGUGAGACAUAUAAAAUGCAUCAUCUUAUGACACAAACAUUUGCCACACAAACAGAAAUGAAAAUUUGCUUCCAAUUGUCCUGAUUCUUAAAGUUGGAGAGUAAAGAGUUUCAAUCAACAUUUAAUAAGUAUUUAUUGAACACUGUGAAAAUUAAUUAAGGGAAACCUUGCUGAAAUGGAGUCUGGAGGUUUGGCACUGGAAGCUCUCAUGCCCUACCACUAGUCCUCAAUUGCUAAUCCAACAAGAAAAGACAGACCUUGCACAUGGAUACUACUUGAGCUACUACUUUCCUAUCCCAGCAGAAGGAAGAAAGACUCCCCCCUGCCCUGCAGUAGUUCAGCCAAUAAGAGACAUUCACAGCUCAGCCAAUGAGAAGCCGCUAUACUUCCAACUCCCAGUUUACUCCAAUGGACUUUUUGUUUAUGACAGCUCCUCCAAUGUCCCCCUUUCCACUAUAAAAGAAUAUUUCUUUCCUUUGCUAUGCCGACUUGCUUAUGGUUAUGUCAUAGCUUGCUUGUCCUUGAUUGCAGUUCUCUGCUAUUCCCAAAUAAGCCCAUCUUUUGCUGG
Felis catus (domestic cat) is the source of this 3896-nucleotide RNA transcript. It is a transcript of the gene named tigger transposable element-derived protein 1-like, with no coding region annotated. The record is from RefSeq and is a predicted model, not a curated record. The transcript has 5 exons. Lineage: Eukaryota; Metazoa; Chordata; Mammalia; Carnivora; Felidae.